RNAcentral lists this non-coding RNA (46 nucleotides) under Trichobilharzia regenti. Lineage: Eukaryota; Metazoa; Platyhelminthes; Trematoda; Strigeidida; Schistosomatidae. The record is from RNAcentral.
GUACUGCUGAAGAGUCCAAAACUAGGACGAAACAUCCGUCAAGUAC